AUACGGAGGAUCCGAGCGUUAUCCGGAUUUAUUGGGUUUAAAGGGAGCGUAGGUGGAUUGUUAAGUCAGUUGUGAAAGUUUGCGGCUCAACCGUAAAAUUGCAGUUGAAACUGGCAGUCUUGAGUACAGUAGAGGUGGGCGGAAUUCGUGGUGUAGCGGUGAAAUGCUUAGAUAUCACGAAGAACUCCGAUUGCGAAGGCAGCACUCUAAACUGUUAAUGACACUCAUGCUCGAAAGUGUGGGUAUCAAACAGGAUUAGAUACCCUGAUAGUCCACACAGUAAACGAUGAAUACUCGCUUUUUGCGAUAGACAGUAAGCGGCCAAGCGAAAGCAUUAAGUAUUCCACCUGGGGCGUACGCCGGCAACGGUGAAACUCAAAUGAAUUGACGGGG
Molecule: ribosomal RNA, 393 nt
Filed under: uncultured bacterium
Lineage: Bacteria
Description: partial 16S ribosomal RNA
Rfam family: Bacterial small subunit ribosomal RNA
Source: RNAcentral